GUCUACAGCCAUGCCACCCUGAACAAGCCUGAUUCUGUCUGGUCUCGGAAGCUAAGCAGUGUCAGGCCUGGUUAGUACUUGGUUGGGAGACCACCUAGGAAGACCAGGUGCUGUAGGCA
This 119-nucleotide ribosomal RNA is filed under the name Pteropus alecto (black flying fox). Lineage: Eukaryota; Metazoa; Chordata; Mammalia; Chiroptera; Pteropodidae. The record is from RNAcentral.